ACAGAGGGUGCGAGCGUUAAUCGGAAUUACUGGGCGUAAAGCGUGCGUAGACGGUUUUGUAAGUCGGAUGUGAAAUCCCCGGGCUCAACCUGGGAAUUGCAUUCGAGACUGCAAGGCUUGGGUGCGGAAGAGGGAAGCGGAAUUUCCGGUGUAGCGGUGAAAUGCGUAGAUAUCGGAAGGAACAUCAGUGGCGAAAGCGGCUUCCUGGUCCAGCACCGACGUUCAGGCACGAAAGCGUGGGGAGCAAACAGGA
This 253-nucleotide ribosomal RNA is filed under the name uncultured prokaryote. RNAcentral's name for it is "partial 16S ribosomal RNA". It matches the Rfam family "Bacterial small subunit ribosomal RNA", at positions 525 to 777 of the family's 1533-position model. The record is from RNAcentral.